Molecule: ribosomal RNA, 374 nt
Filed under: uncultured bacterium
Lineage: Bacteria
Description: bacterial SSU rRNA
Rfam family: Bacterial small subunit ribosomal RNA
Source: RNAcentral
UAAUACGGAGGGUGCAAGCGUUAUCCGGAAUUACUGGGUUUAAAGGGUGCGUAGGCGGUGAGAUAAGUCAGUUGUGAAAUUCCAUGGCUUAACCAUAGGGACUGCGAUUGAUACUGUUUCACUUGAAUCAGGUUGAGGUGAGCGGAAUGUGGCAUGUAGCGGUGAAAUGCAUAGAUAUGCCAUAGAACACCGAUUGCGAAGGCAGCUUGCUGGACCUGUAUUGACGCUGAGGCACGAAAGCGUGGGGAGCAAACAGGAUUAGAUACCCUGGUAGUCCACGCCCUAAACGAUGUUUACUUGCUGUUCGGCCUUCGGGUUGAGUGGCGAAGCGAAAGCGAUAAGUAAACCACCUGGGGAGUACGCCCGCAAGGGUG